Small nucleolar RNA from Tachyglossus aculeatus (Australian echidna), 138 nucleotides. The record is from RefSeq and is a predicted model, not a curated record. Lineage: Eukaryota; Metazoa; Chordata; Mammalia; Monotremata; Tachyglossidae.
ACCCUCUCAGGAUCACACGUGGAAAGUUUCCAGUACCCUACCAGUUUUGACUAUGGGAGGGAGAGAUAAGCAGAGUCAUACCCCUUCCAUUCCUAGCUUGGUCAGUGGCUAGCGAGUGGAAGGCAAUCUGCUACAAGU